AAAAGUAUAGCUCAGAGGUAGAGCACUUGCCUAGCAAGUAGGAGGCCCUGGGUUCAAUCUCUAGUACUGCAA
RNAcentral lists this transfer RNA (72 nucleotides) under Marmota monax (woodchuck). RNAcentral's name for it is "tRNA.Ala". It matches the Rfam family "tRNA". From Rfam's summary of the family: Transfer RNA (tRNA) molecules are approximately 80 nucleotides in length. Their secondary structure includes four short double-helical elements and three loops (D, anti-codon, and T loops). Lineage: Eukaryota; Metazoa; Chordata; Mammalia; Rodentia; Sciuridae. The record is from RNAcentral.